ACAAUAAAAAAUAAUUUAUGGGAACUAAUUUGAGAGAAAAAUAAUUUCGUGUGAAAAUCAGCACAGCAAUUCCUCGCGACGCGACGUCUUGCUUCGCGUGACGUCCUUCUUUCUUUUUACUCUCUUUUCCUCGCGAGUCUGUUGCCGCGGGAGGAAAACUCUUUAACGCUCUUUCGCACUCGCUUGCUCAGGUGAGCGAGAUUACCCCGUCGUUACCGAUAGGAACCUUGAGCGAGCAAAUUGCGCAAGGCAAGGGAAUUGUUGAGACAGUGGCGUGUGCAACGUGCGCGUCGCUCCGUUCACCGAUAUUUUCACUUUUCGCCGGUAUUCCUCCCUUGGUGCACGGUCAACGGCGGAACGAAACGAGUGCGGAAGAAAUAAUAUACAACGGGGAGAAUGCGCAACGAAAACGCACGUGAAAGGUAAAGUGAAGAUGACGCGGAGCGAAACGGAUGCACUUGCUUCGAUGCGCGUUGAAGCACGUUGGGAAACGUCGUGGGCGAAUAAUGACGAGGAGACAGCCGUAAUUUGCUUCCCCUGGCAUCCAAAGCAUAGGCGUGACAAAAGCUACUCGACAACUCGCUAACAUUGAGACAAACAGUCUCCUAGACAAACAGUCUCCUUCAAUAUAAAAAACGCAAUUGUAAAUAUGGAACGAAUUUGUAUAAGCUAUUUGCGUGUAUUAAGAUACACGAAUAUACGAAAUUUGUGAAUAUGUAUCGCGAUAGAAAUUCCUCCUUACGACGCCAAGUACACUCAUGAGAGAACGAAGGGAGUAAAACCGAGAAGAAGCUCCAGAAGAGCAAGAACAACAAGAAAGAUAAGAAGGAGGAGGCGAAGAAGAAGAAGAAGAAACCAUGAAAGACGAGAAAGCUUUGCCGGGGGGCGGUCAGUGGCCUCUGUGCAGCGGCUACCACGUCCCAUGGCAUCGCCUCGCGUCGACGAGUUACACGGCGAAUAAUAAUGGGAAUUACUGAGAGACACACGCGCGAGUAGCGGAUUUAAGGCCCGCUGCUUUUUGUCGCCAUCGGAUCGUCGGAGAUAAGGUCCCCGACGACGAUAACGAGGUCGAAACAAUAGCGGUCCCACCGCAGUAUGAGGCUUCUUUUUCCCUUGAUGUUCGAAACGUUCCACAUUUCCUUCAAGAAACUACCGCCGUUUCUUCAACACAAUACCCGGAGGGCAUAGCGGUGAGCUCAAAAUUCGAAAAUCUUUCGCCUUACGUCUCGUUAAAGAGUCCCGUCACAGAACUACCUCUUCUUUUUCUUUUAUGGACAUAUUUAGUCCAUAAAUAAUUAUUUUUAUUCGUCCAUAAGUAGUUUCUUAUUACGUAUUUCAAUAAUUCCUUAUCCAUAGAAUAUCUGCAGAAAAGUGAUAUAAACUGUAAAAUUAUAAAUUUUAUUAGUUUGUAUAAUUUUCAUUUUAUCUCUUUUAACGUAGGAAAACGUAUAACGUAAGAUAUAAAUAAAAAUUAAAAAUUGAUUAAAAUCAUGUAUAUAUUUG
This is a long non-coding RNA of Ooceraea biroi (clonal raider ant), 1503 nucleotides long. RefSeq lists it as uncharacterized. Lineage: Eukaryota; Metazoa; Arthropoda; Insecta; Hymenoptera; Formicidae. The record is from RefSeq and is a predicted model, not a curated record.